This is a long non-coding RNA of Lotus japonicus, 3052 nucleotides long. RefSeq lists it as uncharacterized. Lineage: Eukaryota; Viridiplantae; Streptophyta; Magnoliopsida; Fabales; Fabaceae. The record is from RefSeq and is a predicted model, not a curated record. The transcript has 9 exons.
AAUCUCAGCCGUUCAUUCAUAUCAGUUUCCCUUUCACCUUACCUUCUUCCUUUUCUCCUUCUCUCACAGCCGUUUCACGAAAUUGAAAACGCAGACACAUUGCGUCUUUCAUUCUUCCUAUCCAUUAUGCACAAAUAGUCUCCGCUCUCCACAACAAAAAAUUACAAUUCCUUCCUCACGCAUCCGCUCGGCAGAACCUUCUUCCCCUUUUCGUGGUUCUGAUCCUUCCUUCUCAGAAAGACUCCUGUGGCUGCGACAUGAAUCACCAUCUUCCAUCCCGUAGGCUCCGUUUCUCACAGGUUUUUUUAUUUUUUGAAUUUUUGUUUCGUUUCAGUGUUGUAACGGAGACAAGGGAUUUUUUGGAGGGUUCGAAUCAGACUACGGAAGGUGGUCUGCUCCGUUUGGAAGAUGGCUGAGGUUUGGCACCGGAAAUUGUUCCUUAAAUGGUGGCUGCUGGCUGGGUGCUCAUACUCGAUUUGAGUUUUCCUGCAAAUUUUCAGAUUUGGUGCACCUAUGCUGGGAUUAUGGGUUUUCAGUUUGUGCAUUGGUGUCGUUCACCUACGUUGUUCUUGAUUGUGGUUUUUUGUUGUUGCAUUCUAAUGGAAUUGAAACUCCCAUUCUUCCAAUCCAUUCAAAAGUCACCCCAUUCCUGACAUUUGACGAUGUCCUUUUGUCACGCCUUCAACUGCAAAGGUAUCUUCUUCAGGUCGCCAAGUUCUUCAGGAUCGUUCAAUUUCAGUAAGAUUUUCCAAUUCAUUUUAUUAUGUUGUUUUUGUGCUACUUCAUUUUUCUUGAAAUUCUUGAUAUACCCAAAUAUUCUUUUCACCUCCUCUGUAACAUGUUUCAUAUAUUAUACCUCCUCCCCAUUCUUCAAAUGAUUGUGAACGAUCAUGAUGGAAUUCAUGAUUUUAGAGUAUCUGUCUAUGCUUUGGAAAUGAUUGAAUGAUGAAGUCAUUCCAGAAAAAGUCAAGGUAAAUUAUAAAUGAUGAUAUUCCUAUGAUGUUAUAUACAUAUGUUUCGCAUUGCUUCUCUGAAUUAUUAUGAUCUCUAUAAUUUUUCAACUUAAUAUUUUUACUUCGGUGGUUUCUAAGGUUCAUUCCAUUGUAACCUUUGAGUUGUAUUAUAGGAACUGCAUUCUAGGCAGGUAGCUUUUUUUAUUCAUAUAAUAUGUUUACUAGCGAGGGCAACUCUUCAGGUAUGUUGAAACUUGAAAGCAAUCCAUUGUAUGCUGAAUCCAGUUUGUAAUUGCUUAAGUUUUGGCAACUCCAGGUAUAUAAAUCAAUGAGGGAUUGCUUUACCGAGAUUGCUUUUUCAGAUCGAAAAUAUAAUUUCACCACUACUUCUCAGAUCUAUGGGAAAGAUAAAGAUGUGCAAGUAGUGGUGGUUAUAUGGUCUUCAAAGAAGCGCAUCAUGUUAUGGCUUUUAAUGUGAGACUUUUCAAACACUGAAAUAAUGGAUUUCACUACCCAUUUUAGAACCUAUGGUUACUCUUUUAUGAUGCCUUUCAAUAUCCAUGUAUGAACCUCCAUAGAUGAAUAGGGAAGAGGUAAAGUGUAGCAAGAUCAAAAGAUCAAAAGCUCGGAGACUCUCGAUGGGUUCCCGCACCCACCACGUUCGUCGUCGCCCAUGAAGGAAUACUCGAGAAAUAAAAGGUCCAUGAAUUGAAGAGAAGCGAUAACAGCAACAUAAGGAUACUCUGCUCAUCCUCUGGUGCUCACAAACUGCAAAUUGGUACCGAUGUGAACAGCACAGAAAAUUGAUUCUGAGUGCCCUGUGCAACUAUAGUUUUAGUCUACAAGAACAGAGAAAGGGUGUCAGAUCGACGAGAGGGCUCAGCAUGGACCUGCAUCGCCAUUGGCAUUCUGUAUACCCUAAUGUUGUGCUUUUGUUGCUGUCAUUUUGUUCAUUCGGUGAGUAAGAUCAUGUUAUUAAUAGUGGUUCUCAUAACUAGCUUAAAUCUGAACUUUCUGGUGUUGAUUUGAGAAUUCUGCUUUGUUAAAAGAAAACAUCAGAAUUCAUAAACUAAUUUAUUAUAUCUUCUAAUCAAUAAAAUAUAUUUAAAUCAAGACAAAUUUAACAAAAACAACACACAAAAAAAACCAAAAAAUGACGGGUAAAUUUGUAACAUCCCGACUUGACGACUGGCCUCACGGUAACAACACGAGUCUUUUCAAUGCGCUUUGUCCUCACUCGCGCACUUCCCGGGAAAACUUCCCAGGAGGUCACCCAUCUCAAUAUUGCUCCAAGUCAAGCACACUUAACUAUGGAGUUUUUAUGAGUUGGGCUCCCGAAAAGAAGAUGCAUCUUGUUGUUAUGAGUAGUACUAAUCAAAUCCUUUAUGCCCUCCUUGACUGUAUAGUCCCAUACCUAUACAGCCUCGGAAUACCUCUUGUUCGGGUGCGAGAUCGGUUCAUUCAUGUGCUCCUCCGCCUAGAAGCCUGCCAGGAGCCGCUCCUUGUCCGUGUCUCACUGCACCGGCGAUCACUCCCCGCCCUCGUCGGCCCCGGGCGUCACAGGCCCACCAGCUUCCGCUUGGUUCGUCCCCGAACUACACCGUACUGGGAGAGGUCGGCUCUGAUACCAUUUGUAACGACCCGAAAUCCUAAGUCGUGACCGGCGCACAGACUAACACCCUAGUCCUGCAAGCCUGUUUCUCACAAAAAUCAUUUUCCAAACUAUUCUCUAAAGUUACAUAUGUUUCUCUAUAUUUAUAAAAAAUAAAUAUACAAGAUCUCAUCCGUAUUACCAAUAUCUCAAAUGACAAAACCUGUCAAAUAAUGAUCUCCAUUUUCAUACUUCCAUUAAAAGGAAAUUUCCAGUUUAAGCACUCAUGUGUAACUUUUACAAUAAAACAAUAAAUAACAAUCUCAAAUCUAAAUCCUCCUAAGACUCCCUAUAGCUGCAGAUAACUAAAAUCAAAUAUAAGACACCAAUAUGACAACCUGUCGAAUGGUCUGAAUCUGACAACAGUAUGCUACUCAGUUGCCUGAAAAUCUGUGGAUGGAAAUAAUGAAUGGGGUAAGUCACAAAGACUUAGUGAGGAUUUAACAAC